UUUUUAAUCCUUGGGGAAGUAGUUAUCUCGUGUGUCUUCCCCAACACACUCUCUCUCUUUCUGUCUCUGACAGGCCCAGUUUGAGAUGCCUUAUGUGGUACGGCUGCACAACUUCCACCAGCUCUCUGCACCCCAGCCCUGUUUCACCUUCAGCCAUCCCAACAGAGAUCCUAUGAUUGACAACAACCGCUAUUGCACCUUGGAGUUUCCUGUGGAGGUGAACACAGUACUACAUGGCUUUGCCGGCUACUUUGAGACUGUGCUUUAUCAGGACAUCACUCUGAGUGAGUGUCUAUGGUAGUAGAUGGCAGAGUAUGAGGGUGUGCUGCCUGGGCAGCUUAUAUGUACAUGUGUCAUUUAGAUUUAUGGGGGGCCCAGUGCUCAGUGAAUGGAGAUCUUUGUUUGUGUGAUUAGAGAAGAGACCCUCUUCAACAUAGGCAAAAGGCACAGCCAUGGACACCUCUGUUUUUUCAUUACUUUGUCCACACAGGUAUCCGUCCAGAGACUCACUCUCCUGGGAUGUUCUCAUGGUUUCCCAUCCUCUUCCCUAUUAAGGUAGGAACUGCUUUUAAGAUUCUGUAGUUAAGGAGUAACCUUUG
RNAcentral lists this small RNA (599 nucleotides) under Pongo abelii (Sumatran orangutan). RNAcentral describes it as "retained intron". Lineage: Eukaryota; Metazoa; Chordata; Mammalia; Primates; Hominidae. The record is from RNAcentral.